GAUGAACGCUGGCGGCGUGCCUAAUACAUGCAAGUCGAGCGAACGGACGAGAAGCUUGCUUCUCUGAUGUUAGCGGCGGACGGGUGAGUAACACGUGGAUAACCUACCUAUAAGACUGGGAUAACUUCGGGAAACCGGAGCUAAUACCGGAUAAUAUAUUGAACCGCAUGGUUCAAUAGUGAAAGACGGUCUUGCUGUCACUUAUAGAUGGAUCCGCGCUGCAUUAGCUAGUUGGUAAGGUAACGGCUUACCAAGGCAACGAUGCAUAGCCGACCUGAGAGGGUGAUCGGCCACACUGGAACUGAGACACGGUCCAGACUCCUACGGGAGGCAGCAGUAGGGAAUCUUCCGCAAAGGGCGAAAGCCUGACGGAGCAACGCCGCGUGAGUGAUGAAGGUCUUCGGAUCGUAAAACUCUGUUAUUAGGGAAGAACAAAUGUGUAAGUAACUGUGCACAUCUUGACGGUACCUAAUCAGAAAGCCACGGCUAACUACGUG
This 497-nucleotide ribosomal RNA is filed under the name uncultured bacterium. RNAcentral's name for it is "partial 16S ribosomal RNA". It matches the Rfam family "Bacterial small subunit ribosomal RNA", at positions 28 to 507 of the family's 1533-position model. The record is from RNAcentral.